Molecule: ribosomal RNA, 340 nt
Filed under: uncultured soil bacterium
Lineage: Bacteria
Description: bacterial SSU rRNA
Rfam family: Bacterial small subunit ribosomal RNA
Source: RNAcentral
AGAGCGAACGCUGGCGGCAGGCCUAACACAUGCAAGUCGAACGGACCCUUCGGGGUUAGUGGCGGACGGGUGAGUAACACGUGGGAACGUGCCUUUUGGUUCGGAAUAGCUCCUGGAAACGGGUGGUAAUGCCGAAUGUGCCCUUCGGGGGAAAGAUUUAUCGCCAUUAGAGCGGCCCGCGUCUGAUUAGCUAGUUGGUGAGGUAAAGGCUCACCAAGGCUACGAUCAGUAGCUGGUCUGAGAGGAUGACCAGCCACAUUGGGACUGAGACACGGCCCAAACUCCUACGGGAGCAGCAGUGGGGAAUCUGCGCAAUGGGCGAAAGCCUGACGCAGCCAUG